AAACUCAUAAUUUAACGGUAGAAUACGCCUUUGAUGAGGGCGGUGUAAGAGUUCGAAUCUCCUUGAGUUUA
Molecule: transfer RNA, 71 nt
Organism: Serendipita vermifera MAFF 305830
Lineage: Eukaryota; Fungi; Basidiomycota; Agaricomycetes; Sebacinales; Serendipitaceae
Rfam family: tRNA
About the family: Transfer RNA (tRNA) molecules are approximately 80 nucleotides in length. Their secondary structure includes four short double-helical elements and three loops (D, anti-codon, and T loops).
Source: Rfam